Non-coding RNA from Taeniopygia guttata (zebra finch), 4125 nucleotides. Lineage: Eukaryota; Metazoa; Chordata; Aves; Passeriformes; Estrildidae. The record is from RefSeq and is a predicted model, not a curated record.
CCCGGGUGCCGCCCCCGCCGCUCUCGGUAGGUCCGGCGGGCGCAGCGCUGCCGCCCGCGGCGAGCCGGCUCCGCACGGGCGAGGCCUCCCCGCACCGCCCCGGCCCGCCAGGCCUCGCCGAGCCCCGGCUCCGCCCGCGGCGGCGGCGCCUCCGCCGGAAGGGAAGCGGAGCCGCCCCGGCCGAGGGGAGGGGACACGGCCCGGCCCGGCCGCCCCGCGGUACCUGCGCUGAAAGUCCGUCCGGAAGGGCGCCAGGCUCCCACCGAGUUACACAUCCACUCACAGCAGGCAGUUGCUACUGCAGGAACAGCUGGAUUUCAACAACCUGCAUCUCCAAGGCUUAGUCCCUGCUGAAUGUGCCAUUCCCUCAGCCCAGCCUUUCUUCUACAAAAGGAGAGGAAGACAGGUAUUUCUAGGAGCAGAGUGGACACGUGUAGUAAGAGGUUGGAUUUGGUUUUCUCCUUCCUUGAUUCCCCUAUCAGUGUACGUGAUUUUGUCCUUCACAGGUAAAGCCGUAAUAAAAACAGUCUGUGCUCAGCUGGGUCAUGACAAAGGGACAGAGACAGAGAUCACUGAUCACACAGGAUUAUGAUCAGAGGCCUUUAAAGCAAGUAUAAGCAGACUUGGUGCUUCCAUUCAGUAUCCACCUAUCCUCAGCUUGCUCUGACUGCCAUCUGUUUUCUACUCUUUCUCUCAGAUUUUCAACAAAGCUUCCCUGUCCCUCAUAAAACCUGCCACUUACCACGGUAAAGUUUGGCUGGAGUGAGUCACAGCCAGGUCAUAAAUUGAUGUAACUACUGUUUCUCUGCUUUCCUUGGAUUGUUAGUGAUCCUGAAGCACCUGGGUUGCCCAAAAUUAUUUUAUUUUAUAUUAAAUGAGAUAAUUGCCAGAAAACAGGACUGCAAACCUGUUGCAUAUGUUCCCAGUCUUCUAUGAUGGCUGUAGGCUUCCUCCUACAAAAGUUUUUUCAGAGGCUUUGUUGUUCAGCAACUCAACUACAAGGAUUCACAGACAGGCAUGCCCAUGUUUUCCACUGGUUUGUUGCACUGAAAAUCGUCUUUACUACACCAUAUACAUACUGCUAAUAUUUACUGUUAUCCCAGUAAAUAUUCUAACAUUAUAAUUUAUCUGAUUAAUGCAGAAAAGCCUCAUUUAUCUGAUGUUCUGGUCACCUUUCCAGAGUGCCUCUCAGUCCUGAGCUUGCCAGUCUUACUGAUGGAGACAAGAAAUGGGACCUGCUUUGUAAGUCAUUAACCCCUGAGACCUUCACAAGACGAACAGUGAUAUUUAUGUUGGGGGAUUCAAAUUCCUCAGCUUUGCAUAAGUUUGCUCUUAUUUUUAAACCUUGCAACAUCUGCUUCCCUCUUACCUAUUCCCAGCUAGUUUGAUAUUGCACAAUAUAUUUACUCCUGGGCUCUCAGAUUUCUACCAUCCUCUGCAAUUUUAUUCCUCUAUCACUCAACCAUUUACUUUACUAAAAUCAGUAGUUUCAGCAAUAUAAAACUGUAAUUCCUUAGUGGAGAAUCCAGGAGACAGGUUAGAGACAGGUUGAUUUUUCAAAAUCACAGCAGUUUUGCUGAUGUGCACAGUCAGCAGAGCUCUAUAAAAAUGGAGGUCAUUGCAUUGUUAAGUUCAGAUUUGUCAUUGAGCUUCUCAGGAAAAGCAUCUAUAAAUGGAAGACAUCAUGAAUGUUCAUACUGUUCAAAGGCCUGUUUUACCUCCUAUCAGCAAUUCAGUAAUUUUUCAAUAUAAAAUAUAAAAAAUCUUAAGCCAAAUAUCUCUUCCAAUUUAUUCUGCUUUUGUAGUAUUUACCAAAUUUAUGUUAAAAUCCCAACAGCUCUUGAAAAACCUUAUAUCUAUGGCUUUUGGGGCCAUGAGUAAAUCAUCUUAUUGUGCACUAGUCUUACAUUAGCCAACUGUUGAUAAAUAUGCUGUAGAAAUACUUAAGUAUUCAAAAUGCUACGUCCUGGUAAAAAAAUAUUCCAGUUCUUUUUCUCAAAGAAUUUGAGAUAUGAGUAAUUGUGGUGGGAUAAAUGAGAACACAUGGACCUGUAGUUAUUCUGAGUCUCUGGAACCCAUCCACCAUUUGCUUUGUGAUAUCACAGAAACACAUAACACAGUGUUCCAGGCAAAAUUAUCAUUACAGAUAAUAUAUUUGUAUUUUUACAGAAAAUUAUAUUUGUAUUUUGUUAUAGAUAUAUAUUUUUGCUUUAAUAACAACCUUCUAUAGAUUUAACAUUUUUUUUAAUUGGUGAUACAAUUCACUGCCUUUUGUCAGUCAGGCUGAUAGUAGUGAAGUAGUAGCCAUAAUAGUACUCUCUGUUAAGAAUAGUAGACUAUAAAGUAGGAAUAUUUUCAAAAGUGUUUCAUGCUUUACACUCAUUAAAGCUUAGUCUCAUAAACCACACUGAGUCCUCUCCUGACAUGUUUCUGGUUGUCAUUAUCUGGUUCUUUUACUGUCUAUGGUUAAGGAAUUAACUUGUGCCAAUAAAGAGGUUUCUUCAUCCAUAAGAUAAUUGUCCACACUGUUAGAAUUACUUGUUCUGUUUCCUCCUUCUGCUGUUUCAGCUGCACACAGUUAAAAUACUGAAUUACUCCUAAAAUUAAUGAAUUAUCUGUUGCUUCUUGACCUAAGCACUCCUGCAGCUGUCUCCUCAGCAUCUCCUGUGUUGCCAUCUGAUUCAACACGUGCACAAGGAACAUUGCAAAGGGAGCUGAGUCAUUCUCUAAAUCUGGAUCGACGUCCUCCGAAAAACAAAACCUUCCUCUGCAGGACUUAAGGGCACGUAUUAACUGUGUUAGUUUGCAUAGGAUGUUUUAGCUUCUCUUACUUUAAAUUACUAGUGUGUCUAACCGAAAAGCACAUAAUUUAGCUGUAUCCACCAAAAUCUUUUUUAUCAUUUGUGUUGCAUAGUGCCUAAUACUUAUUUAUCUUCUUACUUCUGUGUUCUAGUUCCUUUUCUUUUAUUAAUUGUCAUUUCAAAAUAGACUUACAUCUUCAUUGGAUUGAUUUUAGUACACACAUGUAAUUUCUGUGGACUGUGCCUACUUUACUGUCAUUCGGGAACCCUUGAGUCUCAAGGAACAUAACCUCCUGUACAAUCAAAUUGUUAUUCCAGUCAUAACAUUAAAAGAUGUUCACUGUGAAUAUAAAUCUGACUUCAGUCAUGUGAUAUACCUAACAUUUAAAAGGGCUGAUGAAUGAGGAAAUGUAUUAGACACCCUAAAAGUGAGGAAAAAGCAAGAUCAACUGUUUAUGUCUUAUUAUUUUCUUAGCAUAUAAGAUAUCAUACUCAUUCUUUGCAUCUUUAAAUGGAAGGACUUAUGUCCAUCUUGUCUCUGUGCAUGCCAGAAAUGUGUGCUCUGGUAGAUUGAAACCACUCUAGCACUACUACAAGUGAUCAAUUCUAGGAAUUUUUUCAUCUUUAUGUCCAAGUUGCUGGAUUAUUUACAGCUCUGAGUAAGAUUUGCAUCAAGACUUGUGAAGAGCUCUGUAUAUGAGUUAUAUUACAUUGCUCAAAAUAAAGUUUUUCAGUUGACUUCCUUCAAUAUAAUUAUUAUUGUGUUUUAGGUAUUUUCAUGCUAGUGCUGUUUUUGUAAAUGCCUUUAUUAAAUUUAGUAACUGCCUUUAUUAAAUUUGUAAUAUCCCAAAGUAAUACUUUUUGCUUUAGGUUUAUUUUCUUGAUUUAUGUGCUAGCAUGUUUAUCUUCUCCCUCUCUUUUGUCUAGUUCUUUUUUUUAUUUAAUACUGAUUUUUUCCCUUUGUUUUACAGUAAGUCAUGUGGCAUUGACAUCCCUAAGAAAUUUAAAAUUAACAUGGAAGAAAAUUAAACAGCAUAUCAAUGGAUGACAUAGGCAUGAUGGUUUCCCCACGAUGUCAUUGCAUGCUGAUGAAGGGACAGCAAUAUGAAAUAUGAGAUGCAGAUGUGAUCAAAAUACUUCCUUGGUUUUGCAAGGAGUUGCACAAGGAGCCAUUCCUUUUCUGCAAAAGGAAAGCUUGAUUAUUUAUAACUGUGAAAACAAAAAUGGAAAAAUAACUGCCAUAUGUUUCCCAUUUUCUUAAUUUCCUUUCUAUUCCAUGAAAUAUAGAUAUUCCUAUUAAUUAAAAAAAGAAGGCAAAGUGUCA